Molecule: long non-coding RNA, 12197 nt
Filed under: Nicotiana benthamiana
Lineage: Eukaryota; Viridiplantae; Streptophyta; Magnoliopsida; Solanales; Solanaceae
Description: long non-coding RNA (NBEN_LNC015382)
Source: RNAcentral
GCAAACUUAACUAGACUAUUACAAACUCUAACAAUAAUUAGAAGACUAAAUACUACUAUACAGGACUAGAAAGUAAAACAUGAACGGUUGACUCAAAAACAUAAAAUGGCUCCUCCAGCAGCUCUUGAAUGCAGUGAUCCUAGGGUAUCUGUCAUGCUCAAACUCUGAUAAGUAAAUUCACACCUGUAUGAGAAAACUUAAACCAACACUAUGUGAGACAAUAACAUUCCCUACUAGAUACAUGCAAGACAUGGUUGCGAUUCUUUUUUCUAAUAUUAACCUAUUUGGCUAAAAGUGCAAGAUUUGGUUAAGACCCGGCGAAGUCAAGAACCUAAGAUUUACUAGGAAGAUCGAACCCUAUGUCGGUUACCUACGUAUCACGCCCCGAAAGAUGAAAAAAAAUGUAUGCGUAGUUUGGACAAACUAAAUACGGGCGAGAAUUAAGAAAACCAACUAAUUGAGAGAAAAUAUAUUUUGUCUUUUGUUUUGAAAAAUGAUGAAACAUGUAAACUCUUUUUAGAUUUUCUUUUAUGGGAAAGUUCAAAAUCCUUUUGGAUUUUUCCAUUUUAAUCUUUGGUGUUUUCAAAAAAAAUGUGAAAGAAAAACAUAACGAGGCCACACUUGCUUUAUUUUUUAUACUUCACCCUCUUUUUUUAAUUUAUCCUCAACUAUCAUCGGUCCAUCAAAUGACCCCUUUUACCCUUGAAGAUUGAAAAAUGUAGCACAUAGCAUGCAGAACGAUGGUGUUUUACUAUUAGUGUACACCUGUCCUAAACGGACUCAACCCCUGUGUUAAGUCCCCAAAGUCAAAUUCAUAUGGUGCAAACAAGCAUUCCUACUAUGGAUUCGGUAUGAGACUGAGUUAUUCUUUGUUUAAAACCUGAGUAUGUUGUUCUAUACUUGUGCACCCGCGCGGACAACUCAAGCCGGAGGGGGGGGGGAGCUACGUCCCCCACGAUGAGAAGAGAAGGGUUUCGUCGCAGUUUAUAUACAUUUCAAAUAAUACCAAAGUGGUAAAAAGCAACUUUUAGCACAUUAAGCCCAAAUAUGUAAAUAAAACUUGAUAAUUAAUAAAUAUAAAUAUAAGAAUUAUUUUAAGCUUGAAUUCUUGAACCCCGAAUCAGAUAUUACGGGUUUGUGUUCCCCAGCAGAGUCGACAGAACUGUAACACAUCCAUUUUUACUACACCCGGAAUGGGUAUAAGGGAACUUUUUCCAACUUAAAGUUACUAUCAAAACGGGAUUAUUUAUUUAUUAAUUUCAGAGUUGCCACUUGAAAUAAUUUUAUGGUAUCCCAAGACACCGGUUCCAAUCCCAAAUCAAGGAAAAGAUUGACUCAAUUUUAUAGUCUCCGAAAACAGAAAUUCGGGUAAGGAAUUAUGUUAACCCAUGGAAGGUUUUAUUUAUUCCAGGAUUCCGUAGUUCUAACACGGUCGCUCAACUAUUGUAAUUGGCCUAUUAUCUGAUUUUAAUACAUUUGUUAACCUAUGGUACCAUUUUAACUUUAUCACCGCUUUUACUUAAUUAUUUUAGGGAGGAUUUCAACGUUAUUCUAAACACGUCUUGAACCACGUCACAUAAAUGCACCCACAGUACCCGUCAUAUUUUAUCUAACAUUGUUGAGAUAUGGAUUGAGGUCACAUAAAUAUACACCCAAGUUUAGGAAGGUAACUUUUGAAAUAGCGCCUAAAGCAACUACGCACUUUCAAAUUCAUAAGGGCCAUGGAAAUUCAAUUAAAGGGCAUGCCUCCAUUUAUAGGGAUUAAAAUUAAUUACUCGAAGGCCUUGGGUUAUCUAAUUUUAUCUAUGGCUCACCUCAAGUCUAAUUUAAAGGCAGUUCCUAAUUAGAAAGGUUCAAGAUGUGGAGCCAUUCCAAACUAAUAUUCAGAUUAGCCUUACUAGCUACAAGCUUGUGUUACUUACAUUAAAUAUCUAAUAUGUACGAGGCGAACCAAUAAAGGCUUGUUGGGCCUCAGGGCCCAAAUAGGCGAUAACAAAAAAUAAACGCCUCAGCCAAAAACUUGGUGUGAUGAUACGACUCGUCAUCUCAUGUGUAACCAUUCUAUUUUUCCUAUUUUAAGCUUCUUCAUGUUUCAUUAUCUGUGUUUUGUGAGUUUGAGUUAAUUCGGAUUAAGUUUUGUAGGGAUUGAGACACUUAGUCUCUUUAAGGAAGCUUUGGUUUGGAAAAGUCAACCGGAUGUUGACUUGUUUGUUAGAGGGUUAAGAUGUGAUUUCCGGUGAUUUGGUUAGCUUUGGGGAGAGAUUUGUGACUAAGGAGAGUGAUCGGAAAUGAAUUUGGAGGCUUGGGGUAGAAUUAGACUUGGAUGGGCGAAGUUAGCAUUUUGGCGAUAUCCGCUUGAUAAGUGAGAUUUUGAUCCAAAGUUGCAAUAGUUCUGCUAGAUUAUUUUGGAUAUGUGUGCAAAAUUUAAGGUCGUUCGGAGGUAUUUUGGUCGGGUUUUUUAUCAAAUGCGUAUUUCAUAAGUUUAGAAUAAAUUUUGGCUUGAAUCCAUCACGAAAUGAUAAUUUUAGUGUUUUGGAGUUUCUUUGAUGAUUUGAGUGAGUUUGGAUGAUGUAAAAUGGGUUUGCACUUUUGGUUGAGGUCUCGGGGACCUCGGGGUGAUUUCGGAUGGCUAAUGGGAUGAAAUUUGGAGUUUAAGAACUGCUGCCACACCUAGUAUCUGGUAUUUUUGCUUCUGCGGAAAAGGACCGCAGAAGCGGUUUUGCAGAAGCGACAGCCAAGUUGCUGUAGCAAAAGGUGAGGUCUCGGGACGUUGCGCAGUAGCGGACUUGUUGACACAAAAGCGGUAUCGCAUAUGCAAGUAGCGGACCGCAGAAACGGUUCUGGGCAAGAAUUUGGAAACCAAAGAAGCAGAAGGGAAUCAGAAAAGCGGUGUUGUAGAAGCAACGAUUUUAUCGUAGAAGUGGAAAGGUUUGUUUAGAGGUAUUAAAAUUUAUCUUUGCGAAUUUUGGAAAGAACUCAAUAUUUCCACUUCGGACUUGGAGGCUUUGGUGCGAUUUUGGAGAGGGAGUCAAGGUAUUUCAUUGGAAUAAGAAAUUAUGAGCCUAAAACAUAAAUCUAAUGUGUUAUUACAUGAAUUAAGGGUGACAUACCAUGCAAUAACACAUUAAAUAUUUCACCCUUAAUCUAGUGAUUUGAGGGGUCAAAUGGACUCCAAUUUGCCGAAUUUGAUAUAUAUAAACUCGUGGCGAAAUAAGGAUCGUUUUGAUGUAAAGUUUUCUGAAUUUCAAGAAGUAGGCCCGGGGCUCGAGUUUUGCCAACUUCGUGAUUUUCGAUAGUUUUUGAGUUUUUCUGAUUGGGUUGUAUUCCCUUAGCCUGUUGUAACGUAUUCCUUGUGGUUUUGAUUAUAUUCGGCACUCGGGGAGGUUGAUUUGCGAGGCAAGGGAGUAGCGAGCUAGGAUUUUGACCACUUGAGUAGAGUAAUGGUUAUGAAUGAUGUCCUGAUGGUUUGAAACCCUGGAUUGGUACAACGUACUGCUAUGUUGGGAUGAGACACACGUGACAUUAUGAGCGUGGGGUCUGAUAUUGUAGGGGAUUCGGAAUUGGUCCAACCUGUGUGAUGAAUCUACAGCAUUUUGACUGAGACUUAAUUGAUAUCAUUACAUUCUCUACUAGAUGCCAUGUUUGGGCCUUGUGCCGAUCUGUAGAACUCUUAGGGGAAUUUGUAUCGGUUGACCCUACUUUACUUAUUUAAAUCUUACCCUCAGUUAAGCAUUUAGCUGAUAAACAUAAAAUUGAUCUGGCUUUAGAAAUUGGUAAAUCCUAAUUUUAAUAAUAGGUGGAUUGGAAACCCCGUAUUAUCUUAGCUUGCCCGUGAGGCCAAAACUAUAUUGACUGAGAGGAGUCAAAUCCCCAUUUGUAAGGGCAUGAUAUGCUAUGGGUCGGGCUACAUGCCACAGCAGUGUGUGUGUGUGUGUAUGUCUAUAUAUAUAUAUAUAUAUAUAUAUAGAUCGGGCUGCAUGUUGUAGUAGUAUAGAUGAGAAUUUGGUUAUCGUAAAACGUUAAUGAGAUGAAUACUGUCAUAAAAAGGGGUUUUAGCUUGACUUUCCUCAUUUAGAUGUUUCUCAAAGUGCUUUUACUGUUGUACUAUAGAAAUGCGUAGUCUUUUUUAUGAGUUUUCUUUUCUUCAUCCAUUAUUUAUUGCUAUUACUCACUGGGUCGGAGUACUCACUUUACUCACAGCACCAUGUGUGCAGCUGCACGUAUCCUGGAAUCUUAGUUGAGUCUCUGCUGCUAUCCAGAUUAUGACUGUAGUCAUCGAGGUAGCUGCACGGCAUCCGCAUGAUCCGAUUUCUCCCUUUAUCCUCUCUACUUUUACAAAUUUUAGACAAACUCUAUGUGUAGAUUGCAACUCAGACUUGUAUCAGAGGCUCGUGACUCGUGGCACCAGAUCAGUGGAAUUUGUAUUGCUAUUGUAUGAUUUUCCGCACGGUUUCAUCUACUAUUUCAGGAAUUUAAUCUUGUUAAUUUGGCUUUAAUUCAUGUUAAUUGGAAAGAAUUGCUUCAUAAGGGGUCGAGAGUGAUAAAUUGGUCAGGUUUUCCUAACACUGUGUUGGGCGCCAUCACGACCUGGGAUUUGGGGUCGUGACAAGUUGCUAUCAGAGCCUCGGUUACUAUGUCUCGCGAGUCUUGAGCCGGUUAAGUAGAGACUCGCGGAUCGGUACAGAGACGUUUGUAUUUACCCUUCAGAGGCUACAGAACCUUCAAGAAAAACCUCAUAUUCUUGAAAUUCUUGUCAUGCACCUUGUUGAUCCGAAAACUAAACUUUUGUAUUCUAUUCUCUUGCAGAUGGAGAGAACUCGCGCUAUCGGAUGUUGUAGACGACCACAUGUACCACCUACUGAGGCUACCAGAGGCCAUGGACGAGGUCGUGGUCGAGGAAGAGCCGCAGGGGAAGCAGCUGUUGACCCACCAGUUGCCCCAUCUCAGGUUCAGGCUCCGGCUGAAGAGACUCCAGCAGUGUGGUUUAGGCACCAACUGUGCCUUUUGUGAUUCUUUGUCUUCAGGAGGCCCUAACUCAAAUUCUAUCAGUUUGCACUGGCCUGGCUCAGGCAGUCUCAGCCACUACUUCAGUAGCUACUUCGCAGGCGGGGGGAGGCAAUCAGACCCCCGUUGAUCGCACACUUGAGUUUGUACUGCUGGGUUUGCAUACACCAGAGGCACCCCCGGCUCAACAGGUUUCACCAGUUUAGCCGGUUGCACCGAUUCAGGAUUUUGUUUUUCCAGUUAUACCAGAUGAUGAGCAGCGUCGUCUUGAGAGGUUCAGUAGUCUUUAGCCUCCUUCUUUCACUCGUGCACAGGGUGAGGAUGCCCAGGGUUUUCUUGACAUGUGUUAGUGUAUGCUUCAUAAAGAGGGGAUUCUUGAGUCCAUCGGUGUGGCUUUUACGACAUUUCAAUUUUCUGGAGCAGCUUUCACUUGGUGGGAGGCGUAUGAGUGGCGUAUGCCAGCAGAUGCAGCACCUUUGUCUUGGCAAGAGUUCUCUACUCUAUUCUUGGAGAAGUGGAUACCGCACUCUCAGAGGGAGGAACUACGUAGAUAGUUUGAGUGGAUUCUCCAAGGAGGUAUGACGGUUUCUUAGUAUGAGGCGAGAUUUUCGGAGUUGGCUCGCUAUGCUUUAUAGAUGCUCUUGACUGAUCCGGAGAGGGUUAAAUGGUUUGUUGACGAAACUGUUUAUCCCAUACGUAUUUUGAUGACUCGAGAGAGGACUGUGAGUCAUACCUUCGAGGAUGCAGUUGAUAUUGCUCGCGAUAUUGAGACGGCUCGCCGUCACGAGAGAGAGGAGAAGGAGGCCAAUAGGACUCGAGGCUCGGGUAGUUUUAGUGGUACUCCGUCUAGGGGCCAGUCCCAGCAGAGUAGGGGUCAUUCCCUCAGGACCGCUCAGUCAGCUCGACCUAUGUAUAGAGGUGGAUCUUUUAGUCGAGGUUAUCAUGGUUCUCAGCGGAGCCUGUCAUCUCUCAGCUCUCUUCCGGCACAGAGUUAGUCUCGUGCUCCAUCUGUUCAUGGUUCUUCCGGGCCGAGUUGAUCAGCCGAUCACUCUGGUGCGAUGGGUUCCCUUCAGUCCCAGUUCCCAGCACCUGGGAGUUGCUAUGAGUGUAGAGAGCUCAGACAUACGCGGAGGGACUGUCCUCGCCGUGUUGUUAUCUCAUCUCAGCACAGGGGUCAGUCUUCAUCUUUUAGCCGAUUUCUUCAGCACCCGCCCAGCCAGCUAGGGAUGAGGGACAGCAAGCCAAAGGCCUCCCCAGAGGGAGAGGCCGAUCGGGUAGAGGUCAUGCUCGCCUUUACGCUCUUUAGGGAAGGACAGAUGCUAUUGCCUUAGAUGUUGUUAUCAUAGGUGUUAUUUCAGUCUGCCAUAGGGAUGCCUCAAACUUAUUAGAUCCCGGAUUCACCUAUUCCUAUGUGUCUUCAUGUUUUGCUCAUUAUUUGGGGACGACCCGAGGGCAUCCUGCAUUUCCUGUUCAUGUAUCUGACCCGGUGGGUGGUACUAUUAGUGUAGACCAUAUAUAUUGGACCUGCUUGGUGACUAUUUGUGGUCUGGAGACCCGAGUUGAUUUAUUGCUAUUGAGCAUGGUGGACUUUGAUGGUAUUUUGGUCAUGGAUUGGCUAUCUCUGUGUCAUGCUAUUCUACACUGUCAUGCCAAGACUGUCAUUUUCACAAUGUCGGUUGUUCCGAGGAUCGAGUGGCGUGGUGUGUCUGAUUAUGUCCCAAGUAGGGUGAUUUCUUUCCUGAAACCCCAGCGUAUGGUUGGGAAUGGGUGCCUGUCAUAUUUAGCUUUUGUGCGGGAUGUCGGAGCCGAGGCUCCUAGUAUUGACUAUUUCCCAGUUCUGAGGGAAUUUCCCGAUUUUUUCCUGUAGACCUGGCGGGCACGCCUACGGAUAGGGAUAUUGAUUUUGGCAUCGAUCUAGUGCCGGGCACUCAACCCAUUUCCAUUCCGUCGUACCGUAUGGCGCCAGCAGAGCUGAAAGAGUUGAAGGAGCUGAUUUAGGAAAUCCUAGAUAAGGGGUUCAUCCUGCGUAGUGUGUCAACGUGGGGUGCACCUAUCAUAUUUGUGAAGAAGAAAGACGGCAUAAUGAGAAUGUGCAUUGAUUAUAUGCAGUUGAACAAAGUAACAAUGAAGAACAAGUAUCUUCUACCUCGUAUUGAUGAUUUAUUCUACCAGCUCAAGGGAGAGAGGGUGUUCUCCAAGAUUAUUCCAUUCGAGAUAUCACCAGUUGCAGAUCAAGGAAUCAUAUAUUAUGAAGACUGCCGUCAGGACUAGAUAUGGGCACUAUGAGUUUCUGGUCAUGUCAUUUGGGCUGACUAGUGCCGCCACAACAUUUAUGCAUUUGAUGAACAAUGUAAUUCGGCCAUAUUUGGAUUCAUUUGUUAUUGUAUUUAUUGAUGAUAUUCUGGUAUACUCGCGUAGCCAGGAGGAGCACCCACGACAUUUGCGGGUAGUGUUACAGAGAUUGAGGGAGGAGAAACUAUAUGUGAAAUUCUCCAAGUGUAAGUUUUGGCUUGGGUCAAUGGCUUUCUUGGGACACGUGGUGUAUAGUGAGGGUAUUCAGGUCCACUCGAAGAAGGUUGAGGCCGUAAAUAGUUGGCGUAGACCGACCUCGGCCACAUAGAUUCGUAGUUUCCUCGGUUUGGAUAGUUAUUAUCACCGGCUCAUUCAGGGUUUCUCAUCUAUUGCCUCGUCCUUGACCAAGUUGAGACAGAAGGGUGCUCCAUUUGUAUUCUCGGAGGAGUGCGAGGAGAGCUUUCAGAAGCUCAAGACAGCAUUGAUCAUAGCUCCAGUAUUGUCUUUGCCAUCAGCUUCAGGUUCUUACACCGUUUACUGUGAUGCUUUGAGAGUCCGUAUUGGCUGUGUAUUAAUGCAGGAGGUUAGGGUGAUUGCAUAUGCUUCUCGUCAAUUGAAGCCCCAUGAAUAGAACUACCAUGUUCAUGACUUAAAGUUGGCUGUUAUAGUUCAUGCUUUGAAGAUUUGGAGGAACUAUCUGUAUGGCGUAUCUUGUGAGGUAUUCACCUAUCAUCGCAGUCUUCAGCAUUUGUUCAAGCAAAACGAUUUGAAUUUGAUGCAGCAGAGGGCUUGAGUUGCUAAAAGAUUAUGGUAUUACAAUUUUGUUUCAUACGGGAAAGGCUAUUGUGGUGGCUGAUGCCUUGAGCCGAAAGGCAGUCAUUAUGGGAAGUUUGGCAUAUAUUCCAGUUAGGGAGAGGCCCUUCGCAGUUGAUGUUCGGGCUUUUGCCAAUCGAUUUGUGAGGUUAGACAUUUCCGAGCCCAGCCGGGUAUUAGCUUGCGUGGUUUCAUGUAUUAUUUAUAUGAUCGCAUCAGAGAGAGCUUUAGUAUGAUAAUGUGCAUUUGCUUGUCCUCAAGGACAGAGUUCAGCAUGGCGAUGAUCGAGAUGUGACCAUUGGUGAAGAUGGUGUAUUGAGGAUGCAAGGCCGGAUUUGUAUGCCCUGUGUGGAUGGGCUAAGAGAUUUGAUUCUUGAUGAGGCUCACAAUCUGUGGUAUUUCAUCCAUCCGGGUGCCGCGAAGAUGUAUCAGGACUUGAGAAAACACUACUGGUGGAGAAGAAUGAAGAAAUACAUUGUGGGAUUUAUGGCUCGAUAUCUCAACUGUCAGCAGGUGAUAUAUGAGCAUCAGAGACUAGGCGGUUUGCUUCAGCAGAUGGUUAUUCCUGAGUGGAAGUAGGAGAGAGUUAUUAUGGACUUUGUGAGUGGUCUUCCUUGGACUUUGAAGAAUUUUGAUUUGAUUUGGGUGGUCGAUUUGGGGUUCCAGUUUCUAUUAUCUCGGAUAGAGGUACUCAAUUCACUUCUCAGUUUUGAAGGGAAUUUCAGCAAGAGUUGGGUACACAAGUAGAGCUGAGCACAUCGUUUCAUCCUCAGAUUGAUGGGCAGUCCAAGAGUACCAUUGAGAUAUUGGAGGAUCUGUUGCGUGCAUGUGUGAUUGAGUUUGAAGGUUCUUGGGAUCGGAUAUCCCAGAUGCAUAGUUGAGUCUGUGCUGCUAUUCAGAUUAAUACUGGAGUCAUCGAGGUAGCUGCAUGGCAUCAGCGAAACCCGAUUUCUCCCUUUAUCCUCUCUACUUUUCCGCAUUUUAGACAAACUCUGUGUAUAUAUUGCUACUCCGACUUGUAUUAGAGGCUCGUAACUCCUGACACCAGAUCAGUGGGAUUUGUAUUUCUAUUGUAUGUUUUUUUGUACAGCUUUAUCUACUGUUUUAGUAUUUUAAUCGCGUUAAUUUAGCUUUAAUUCCUGUUAAUAGGAUAGAAUUUCUUCAUAAGGGGUUGAGAGUGAGAAAUUGGUCGGGCUUGCCUAGCACUGUGUUGGGUGCCUUCACGAUCAGGGAUUUGGGGUCGUGACACUUGGCUAGGCUACCCCCGCCUGGGCCAAUGACAAGCCCAAUAGAGGUUCUCCUUGAUUCUCUUUGUUUUAAGCACAUAGACAUAGCCUGGACGUGGAAAAUAGUUUACUUAAGAUUAACUGAUUACACAUGCAUCUACACACUCAAUUAUUAUUAAGCUAAUACAUGAACUCCUACUCAGAAAAUUAGAGUGAAGCGAGAGGAUAGGACCAAUUCCAAGAGUAUGCUAUUGCUUUUUUAGUAUAACUUACUAAUUACCUUACAUUCCUAUACAAUUGUCAUUGUCAAAUCCAGAAUAGGCCAUAGUAGCAAUCUGAUAUGCAAUCUUCCUUUGAACUGCAACUCUAAAAUGAUGUGACUUACUCAAACCAACAUAGGACUAUUCCAAAAUGUUCUUUCCGAUGCCCUCAGGCCUUCAAAGUAUUUAACUACCAAAAAUCUCAUCCCAAAUAACAAUUUAAUAUAAAAGGCUAAGAGGCUAGACUAUAGUUCACUGGUAGAGUAAUAAAUUGACAAAUAACACACAUUACAGAGUUAAUCGUUAACACAUGGACGUAAAAAAAGUUUAAAUUAAAUAUUGAUAUUCAACAGAGACUCGAACUCAAAUUAUGUAUCUCACGCUUAGAUUCUACCAAUUUAAUAUAAAGCCAUCACAACUAAAGUAAGGUAAACGAGUCAUCACCUAUUUAAUAGAACAUCAACAGGGAUAUGAGCUUCAAAUCAAAUUCAUGAGCAAGUAGAACUCACAUACAAUGUAAUACUACCAGAAUACCACAUACAGAGCAUACCUAGACAUUAGCCUAAACAGUUAUGUAAAGAAGCUAAAUUUCACAAAACAAACAUUGCAGAAUUUGAUCAUACACAAAGGAUAAAGGCUACAUACAUUAAAAACUAAAUUCUAACUUGUUGAAUGGGAUAAAAAUGGAACAAAAUGGAACUACUAUUCAAAAUCUGGAAUUCAACCCAAGUAUUCACAUGAUAUUCGAUAGUGAGGCAACAGAUGAUCCAAAUCUUCAAGUAUAUGAUUCAAUGGCCAAGAGCAUGUUCAAUAUACAUACUUGUAAAUCAAAUAAAGAAAUAAUAUUGAAGUAUCAAUGGCAGUAAAAUAGUAUCAGCAGCAAUGUCACAGUGUUAACCAUCUGAAACAAUCCCAAACUACAAACCAACUCCACGCAACUCAAAUCAAACUUCUAAACCCAAACUUAAUCCAUUUUUACACCCAAAUGCACAACAAUAAAAGUUUUCAGAAGUUCUAGGAUAACAGAAGAUUCAGAGAACCAAAACCAAGAAACAAAAACCAGUACAAACAAUUUUCAGCAUUUUCUCGGAAUUUUUAGAAGGAAAUUAAUUGCUUCUGAAGUUCGGUAUUUCUUCUUAUCUUUUUUGUCUCUCUAGGGUGUAAAAACUAUGUGUUGAGUGAAAAAAAUGCUUCAUUUAUAAGGCUGGGGGUAAGUUAUAUGUCUUUCAAUGCAAGGCAAUCAGAUUUUCCCAGAACACCCUCACAGGGCAUCAUUUAAAACUGAUUUUUGGACAUCUGUCCAUUUCCUUUAGAUUUUUCCAAUUUGUAACUUGUUUUUUCUAAAAAUUUGGGAAGUUGUCCAUUGAGGAAGCUUCCCAAUCAGUUAUUAAAAGAUACUCCAAGUUAAACAAAUCCCCAAAACUACCCUCUAAAUAUCCUAAUUUUUCACUUACCACCCCUAGGUUCUGAAUUCUCACAAUCGCAACAAACACUAAUAAAUGAAAUAUCACCUUCAGCUAGAUUAAAUACCAAUGAAAUUCAAACAAUUGUUGAAUAAUAUUAAAUCAUGAAGAAUCAAUAUGCUACAAAGCCCUACAAUGGAACUUUCAGAAAUACUAGAAAGUUGACGAUUCUAGAACAUGCUUGAAUGAACCAACAAACGCCACUACACCCUGAAUUAAACCUAAGAUCCUUCACACAUAAACAAUAACUCGGAAAAUGCUCUUGAAAUAGGAAUUAAUGCAGACAAUGAACUAUAUUUGGCUAAUCUCAAUGCUUCAAUUCCAGAAUUAAUUCACAAACAUAGACAUGAAACCUUCCGGUAAGAAGAAAAUGUUACUAAUUGAAACCAAGCUAAACUCAAACCCUUUGAAACUGGUUGUUAUUAACAAUUUAGCAACCCAGCUAACUAAUGGACUUAAAACUAGAGACGUAUUGCAAUAAAACAAGGAAACUGGAGAAGAAACAAACAAACGAAAGAAUGAAAAGAUCAAACGGAAACCAAUCGAGACAAAGAAAUUAUCUCAAACCUGCUUCAGUAAGAACCCGCAUGAACUCCAAUAAACCUUUUGAAGAAGAAAGUGAACCUUUGACGGUUAUUAGUGGAUUGUCCUUAACCAAAGACAAAACAUUAAUGACGAUUUGGGUUCACUCGACCUUGCUGACCCAGAAAAGAACCUAGCGCGAGACCUAGGGCCUUCCGGACCUUUGCUCCACUAUUGACGAGCUACUUCUAUGGGAAACAACAUGUUUAGAGCGGGAAAUAUGUAACGGGUCAUUUGAGGUGAACUUGGUUAGUUUUGGGGCUUUUAGGGAUUUUAGAUCUUGGAUUAAGUUUUGACAUUCGAGCACUUGUGGUGGGAUUCGAGGGAAACUGGCUAGAGAUUUGGGAAGAGGAAGGUGAGAGGGUUCUAGGGUGUUAAGAUGUGGGUGAUUGGAAUGGUCACUAGCGGCGGAGGCGGUUGGAAUUUGAGGGUGGCGUCAUUAGGGUUACUGGAAUGAGACAAUGAAAAUUAAGAAGAGGGGGUUCUAAGGGGGAUGUGGGUCUUUUUCGGACAAUUUUAUAUGUAUGAGGCUUUAGUUCCAGUCCAUUGGAUUCUAU